CCCCGGAAGACGCCGCCCGGCCCGAGCGUGUCCCCGACCGGCUGGUCGAUGCCGUACUCCCGCGGGAUCUCGACAUCGUGGCGGUAGGCGUCCAGGCCUCCGACCUGGAAGGUGCAGAUCGCAACGUCCGUGCCGUCGAGGGCAGCCCGCCGGUCGUCGGUGGCCCAGCCGCGGGCCGGGAGGUGGUGGGCCUCGAUGAGGUCGUUCAGGCCCUUGAGCGUCCGCUCGGCCCCCGCCCUGUCGAUGUCGAACAGGCAGAACUCGGCGUCCCGCAGCGCCUCGAACGCCAGGAUGUCCCU
RNAcentral lists this unclassified non-coding RNA (299 nucleotides) under uncultured fungus. RNAcentral describes it as "sequence contains ITS1". The record is from RNAcentral. Lineage: Eukaryota; Fungi.